Coffea arabica (coffee) is the source of this 483-nucleotide non-coding RNA. Lineage: Eukaryota; Viridiplantae; Streptophyta; Magnoliopsida; Gentianales; Rubiaceae. The record is from RefSeq and is a predicted model, not a curated record.
AUUUCCUACCAUCAUUAUUCUAAAUUAAUUAAUAACUACAUCACAUUUUAUUGGCAAAAAUUAAUUUAAAAAUUACCCCAUAAUUUGAGCAGCCAUGAAAUCUUUUGCCUAGGUUCAACAAUAUCCACGAAAUCAGUAUUCGACAUGCGUCACGUCAGUGAUAGAAACCAACCUCAUCCCUAUUGUAAAACUUUACCUUUCCUCUAUCUAUUCGACAUGCGUCACGUCAGUGAUAGAAACCAACCUCAUCCCUAUUGUAAAACUUUACCUUUCCUCUGUCUAUUCGCCCGUGAUAGAAACCAACUUCAUUCCCACUAUAGAACUCUACCUUUCCUCUCUAUUCACCCUUGAUGAUUGCCCACUUUCUUUCCUAUCAUGGUUUGACUGUUGACUGCUUUUUGAACUUGAUGCCCCAUGGUCGACGUUCCUCCUCUAAUAUAUUUCUUUGGAGAGAAUUUGCACAAGGAGGUGCGAAUUUGGCGA